AACCUUAUCCUCCCGUCUGGAUCCAUUUCGCUCCCUGGUCGAUACCCUUUUCUCCUCACAUCGACUAGAGGUGAGCAGAGCUGCACCGGCCUUUCCCGUCACCCUCCCUUCGAUUCCUCGCGCGAGCGCCAUCUCCAACCCCUCCUCCACCUUCCCCAAGCUCUGGCCGCGCUCCUCUCCGGCUGAAGCAACCGGAAUCAGUCCCGCACCGCCUGGCCGCCAUUGGAGCUCUGCUCGAAGCUCCGACCCGCCCGUCGAUCCCCUUCCUCCGGCGGUCCCUCACCUGAUUGAGGCCGUGGAAUGUAUGCUUCUGGAUCGAAACUAUCAGAUGAUCCAGUAUGUAGUAUUCACCAACAUGGCUCAAAAGUGAAAUGUCAAGGUUUAGUUCUUGUAGAACGCUAUUGGGUUUAGCUUAUGUAUUAGUUCAGAUAAGAAGUGUUAGGAACCGCUGGAAAAUAAGGUAGCAGAAUAGAGGAGGCACUAUGAUGUAUGUAUGAGCACAGAUGUAUGCACAUAUGUAUGUGUGAUCAGAGGAUGAACUAUAUAUGAUGUAGAUUUGGCUUAUUUUUGUUAA
This is a long non-coding RNA of Panicum virgatum (switchgrass), 574 nucleotides long. RefSeq lists it as uncharacterized. NCBI's taxonomy places the organism in Eukaryota, Viridiplantae, Streptophyta, Magnoliopsida, Poales, Poaceae. The transcript is spliced from 2 exons. The record is from RefSeq and is a predicted model, not a curated record.